CCCUUAGAUGUUCUGGGCCGCACGCGUGCUACACUGAUGAAUGCAACGAGCUCUACCCUUGACCGAAAGGCCCGGGUAAACUUGUGAAACUUCAUCGUGAUGGGGAUAGAUUAUUGCAAUUAUUAAUCUUCAACGAGGAAUUCCUAGUAAGCGCGAGUCAUCAGCUCGCGUUGAUUACGUCCCUGCCCUUUGUACACACCGCCCGUCGCUCCUACCGAUUGAAUGGUCCGGUGAAAUCUUCGGAUUGCUGACCAAGAUCCAGCAAUGGAGCUUGGUUGCGAGAAGUUGAUUAAACCUUAUUAUUUAGAGGAAGGAGAAGUCGUAACA
Molecule: ribosomal RNA, 327 nt
Filed under: uncultured eukaryote
Lineage: Eukaryota
Description: partial 18S ribosomal RNA
Rfam family: Eukaryotic small subunit ribosomal RNA
Source: RNAcentral